GAAUCAUUUGUCUUUCCCACUUUACACAGUUCCAGGAUGCUUCAAUGCUUCAUAAGCCCCCACAGGAUGGAACUGAUCAUUCCAAGGGAGAAAACUCAAGCAUACACCCCCUUCUCCAUCCCUUGAACCCUGUUUCUCAAUCUCUGCACGUCAAUGGCACAUCACUGGUUUCUGAGCCCCACAAGAUGAUGAGAACCUAUAGAUUGCUUCCAGGCUAAUAUGGUUUGAUCAAGAAAGACCCCCUGGGAGGUCUCCAGAUAUUCCAACAUCCAGAUCAGCUUCAAGGCCUUGAGAUGAACAACCCUCUCUCCCACCCCUCUCCAGCUGCCAAGACUUUCUGUCCACACAUAUGGGACCAGGC
This is a long non-coding RNA of Peromyscus eremicus (cactus mouse), 361 nucleotides long. RefSeq lists it as uncharacterized. NCBI's taxonomy places the organism in Eukaryota, Metazoa, Chordata, Mammalia, Rodentia, Cricetidae. The transcript has 3 exons. The record is from RefSeq and is a predicted model, not a curated record.